GGUCCUGUAGCUCAGUUGGUAGAGCAUCGGAUUGAAAAUCCGUGUGUCGGUGGUUCGAGUCCACCCGGGACCACCA
RNAcentral lists this transfer RNA (76 nucleotides) under Candidatus Pelagibacter sp. RNAcentral's name for it is "tRNA-Phe". It matches the Rfam family "tRNA". From Rfam's summary of the family: Transfer RNA (tRNA) molecules are approximately 80 nucleotides in length. The record is from RNAcentral. Lineage: Bacteria; Pseudomonadati; Pseudomonadota; Alphaproteobacteria; Candidatus Pelagibacterales; Candidatus Pelagibacteraceae.